This 45-nucleotide non-coding RNA is filed under the name Schistosoma margrebowiei. Lineage: Eukaryota; Metazoa; Platyhelminthes; Trematoda; Strigeidida; Schistosomatidae. The record is from RNAcentral.
AUCCAGCUGACUAGCCCCACAUAAGACGAAACGCGCAUCCUGGAU